CUACGGGAUGCUCCAGUGGGGGAUAUUGCACAAUGGGCGAAAGCCUGAUGCAGCAACGCCGCGUGAAGGAAGACGGAUUUCGGUCUGUAAACUUCUAUCAGCAGGGAUGAAAAUGACAGUACCUGACUAAGAAGCCCCGGCUAACUACGUGCCAGCAGCCGCGGUAAUACGUAGGGGGCAAGCGUUAUCCGGAAUUACUGGGUGUAAAGGGUACGUAGGCGGCUGAUCAAGUCAGAUGUGAAGGCCCGGAGCUCAACUCCGGGACUGCAUUUGAAACUGGUCGGCUAGAGUGUAGGAGAGGAAAGUGGAAUUCCUAGUGUAGCGGUGAAAUGCGUAGAUAUUAGGAAGAACACCAGUGGCGAAGGCGGCUUUCUGGACUAUAACUGACGCUGAGGUACGAAAGCGUGGGGAGCAAACAGGAUUAGAUACCCCUGUAGUC
RNAcentral lists this ribosomal RNA (439 nucleotides) under uncultured bacterium. Its description in RNAcentral is "partial 16S ribosomal RNA". It matches the Rfam family "Bacterial small subunit ribosomal RNA", at positions 339 to 795 of the family's 1533-position model. The record is from RNAcentral.